This 468-nucleotide ribosomal RNA is filed under the name uncultured bacterium. RNAcentral's name for it is "partial 16S ribosomal RNA". It matches the Rfam family "Bacterial small subunit ribosomal RNA", at positions 28 to 507 of the family's 1533-position model. The record is from RNAcentral.
GACGAACGCUGGCGGCGUGCUUAACACAUGCAAGUCGAACGGAAAGGCCCUGCUUUUGUGGGGUGCUCGAGUGGCGAACGGGUGAGUAACACGUGAGUAACCUGCCCUUGACUUUGGGAUAACUUCAGGAAACUGGGGCUAAUACCGGAUAGGAGCUCCUGCUGCAUGGUGGGGGUUGGAAAGUUUCGGCGGUUGGGGAUGGACUCGCGGCUUAUCAGCUUGUUGGUGGGGUAGUGGCUUACCAAGGCUUUGACGGGUAGCCGGCCUGAGAGGGUGACCGGCCACAUUGGGACUGAGAGACGGACCAGACUCCUACGGGAGGCAGCAGUGGGGAGUAUUGCACAAUGAGCGGGAGCCUGAUGCAGCAGCGCCGCGUGCGGGAUGACGGCCUUCGGGUUAUAAACCGCUUUCGCCUGUGACGAAGCGUGAGUGACGGUAAUGGGUAAAGAAGCACCGGCUAACUACGUG